AUUGAACGCUGGCGGCAUGAUUUACACAUGCAAGUCGAACGGUAACAGGCCGCACGGUGCUGACGAGUGUUGAACGGGUGAGUAAUACAUACGAACGUGCCCAGUCGCUGUGGGUCACUACUCGCUAGAGUAGAUCAUACCGCAUACGAUCUAUGGAUGAAAGCGGGGGACUGUAAUAGCUCGCGCGAGUGUUGCGGCCGCUGACAGAUUAGUUAGUUGGUCGGGUAAUGGCUCACCAAGCCAACGAUCUGUAGCUGGUCUGAGAGGACGAGCAGCCACACUGGGACUGAGACACGGCCCAGACUCCUACGGGAGGCAGCAGUAGGGAAUUUUGGGCAAUGGGCGAAAGCCUGAUCGAGCAAUGCCGCGUGCAGGAUGAAGGCCUUCGGGUUGUAAACUGCUUUUGUACGGAACGAAACGACUCUGAUUAAUACCCGGGGCUAAUGACGGUACCGUAAGAGUAAGCACCGGCUAACUACGUG
RNAcentral lists this ribosomal RNA (482 nucleotides) under uncultured bacterium. Its description in RNAcentral is "partial 16S ribosomal RNA". It matches the Rfam family "Bacterial small subunit ribosomal RNA", at positions 30 to 507 of the family's 1533-position model. The record is from RNAcentral.